UCGGUGUAGACGUAAAUAUUUUCGAUAGAGAUUUGAGAACAAUGGGAAAAGUUUCAAUAAAAAUAUUAAAAGGAGUAAAAAUGAUUUAUUAGAGCGCUCAAGCGCGCCCGACAGCUAGCUUCUCAGAUGAGGAAUCGAUGACGGACUCGGACUCAAUUUGGUGGCACCCACUUCUGCAGUUUAGGGUGAAUCGCUAAUGAGGGCGCGCAAAAUAUGCUAAGCAACCAAUCAUCAGCUAAUAAAGAUCUUCUCAUCCGCUUUGGAGAGGCCUUUCCCUGGAGGUUGGAAUUUUAUCAGGGAGGCUUUUCACAGACGAGGGGACCCAGCAAUAGGACUUCAGGCUAUAAGGUAUUCAAUCGGUACAUCUACUUUAAAACAGUAUACUACCUACUUAAGAACACAAUGGGAUUUUUGCGACAGAAGGAAUAUCACCGUUUCCAAUAUUCAUUAAAUCUAGUUUUGGUCUUUUUAGGCAGAAAAUUUCUUAUUCGACGAUUAAAUAAAACCUUUUAA
This is a long non-coding RNA of Photinus pyralis (common eastern firefly), 513 nucleotides long. RefSeq lists it as uncharacterized. NCBI's taxonomy places the organism in Eukaryota, Metazoa, Arthropoda, Insecta, Coleoptera, Lampyridae. The transcript has 3 exons. The record is from RefSeq and is a predicted model, not a curated record.